UUGGACCACAUACGCUGCAGUGUAGGUCAACUGUACAUAAGUUAGUCUUUGCUUUUUCUCUCCUGCUGAUGUAGUCCACCUCUCCUGGCAUGACUAUGGGAAAAGGAGGAAAUAAAGGCGUUUAAGGACUGAAACAAAUACCACAGUUCACUGAUGGAUACAAAGCAGAACAAAUGGUGGAGGAUUCCAUUCAUUGUGACUCAGGAUCAUGAGGAAAAGAUGAACAAAAUUUCAGCAGCUUCAAAGCAAACAUUGACUCAUACUUCACAGACCUGAAAGCAAGGCUGCCUCCAUCUUUGCUUCAGACGGUAAGACUGUUGAAGAGCAUAGCCCCAUGGGUG
This is a long non-coding RNA of Capra hircus (goat), 341 nucleotides long. RefSeq lists it as uncharacterized. Lineage: Eukaryota; Metazoa; Chordata; Mammalia; Artiodactyla; Bovidae. The transcript has 3 exons. The record is from RefSeq and is a predicted model, not a curated record.